GUCCACGCGGUAAACGAUGGGCACUAGGUGUGGGGGUAUCCACUCCUCCCGUGCCGAAGCUAACGCAUUAAGUGCCCCGCCUGGGGAGUACGGCCGCAAGGUUAAAACUCAAAGGAAUUGACGGGGCCCGCACAAGCGGUGGAGCAUGUGGUUUAAUUCGACGCAACGCGAAGAACCUUACCUGGGCUUGACAUCCCUGGAACUCCCUGGAAACAGGGAGGUGCCCUCGAAAGAGGGAGCCAGGAGACAGGUGCUGCAUGGCUGUCGU
This 268-nucleotide ribosomal RNA is filed under the name uncultured bacterium. Its description in RNAcentral is "partial 16S ribosomal RNA". It matches the Rfam family "Bacterial small subunit ribosomal RNA", at positions 793 to 1055 of the family's 1533-position model. The record is from RNAcentral.